Long non-coding RNA from Diachasmimorpha longicaudata, 1054 nucleotides. RefSeq lists it as uncharacterized. The transcript has 3 exons. The record is from RefSeq and is a predicted model, not a curated record. NCBI's taxonomy places the organism in Eukaryota, Metazoa, Arthropoda, Insecta, Hymenoptera, Braconidae.
GUAGUAGGCGAAAUUGCAGAGUAUACUCUGAGUAUAUAAUAUACCCUGAGAUAUGUAAUCGAAAAUUGAAAUAAAAUCACUGGAAAAAUAUUCCAAGAAUUGACCGACAUUCGACGUGAGAAAAUACGUUUCGUGGAAACACCCAUGUACUUGAAGGGUGUCAGGAUGUAAGGGCGUGAGCUUUACCAGACGUACGCAAUUGAUCCGAGAAAUUGAACAAAUUUUCCGUCAGUUAGAACAUCAGGUACAAUGAUUAUCGGUAUGCGCACAGGUUCAAUACGCAACGCGGGAAUAUGUAUUGAACAUAUCUCUACUGAAACUACCGACGGUAUUAGCUGUCGAAAACUGUUGGAACAACGGCAUUGGGCGAGUCCCGGCUUACCGACUAUAAAAGCUCUCCUGUAUAUCUUAGAGCACGUCAAACGCUGUUGGUACACGAUACCGUUAAAAACUCAAUCCUGUGAAACAAAAAGUACAAUUACUAUGUCCCAUUAUACGUGUCACCAGAUAAUGGAAAAUGUCAAACAUCGUCGCCGCUAUUCGUGAUAACGAGAAAUAAAUUUUUCAUUCCUAAAUCCCAAGCAUUUCUUCUUCAGCAAUAUUUUAAAAUAAUUUUUCAUUGAUUGUCAACGCUGUGAAGUGCAAGUGACGAGAAUGCUAAGAAUUCCCUGUAAAUGUAAUGAAGUGAAAAAAAAUCGUGAAACGUCUAAAUGGAAAGCUGUUCCCAGGGCGUAAUUAAUUAUUUAUACAAAGGAUGAUUCUGGCGAGUUUGUUCAUUAUGAUUACCCUAAUGAAUUUGGCAAACUCUAUGUAUAACCACAAGAGGAUGGCGGAUGAAAUGCUUCUGGAAAUUUCUUACGUUGCGACAACUUGGGAAUCCCAUCAGUAUGAUGGUAACUGCCCAAAAAUUACUGAGACACAAGUCCCACCAGACCUACGUGCUCAUUACGCUAAUGGCCGAAGGAAGAGAAUCGGCUCGCUCUCAAUCACGAAUCCCAUGGAUGUGCUCAAACAACGAUUUCUUUUACUAUUGGCACGUAGACAACAAAUGCAG